This 190-nucleotide microRNA precursor is filed under the name Oryza barthii. RNAcentral describes it as "MIR812 microRNA precursor family". It matches the Rfam family "MIR812 microRNA precursor family". Lineage: Eukaryota; Viridiplantae; Streptophyta; Magnoliopsida; Poales; Poaceae. The record is from Rfam by way of RNAcentral.
AAUAAAUAUAGUUUUAUACUGUUCAUGUCUAACGUUUGACUGUUCAUCUUAUAUAAUAUUUUUUUAUAGUAUUUUUGUUAUUAUUAGAUGAUAAAACUAGUACUUUAUAUGUGACUAAUUUUUUUAAUAAAUUUUUUAAAUAAGAUAAAUGGUCAAACGUUGAACAUGGAUACUCACGACUGCACUUAUU